This 69-nucleotide transfer RNA is filed under the name Marmota monax (woodchuck). Its description in RNAcentral is "tRNA.Undet". Lineage: Eukaryota; Metazoa; Chordata; Mammalia; Rodentia; Sciuridae. The record is from RNAcentral.
GGAUUGUGGCUCAGUGGUAGAGCACUUGCCUAGCCGGGUACAAGGCCCUGGGUUCGAUCCUCAGCACCA